CGAACGUUAGCGGCGCGCCUAACACAUGCAAGUCGAGCGAGAAGGAAGCAAUUCCUGUAAAGCGGCGCACGGGUGAGUAACACGUAGGUAAUCUACCUCGAAGUGGUGGAUAACCUUCCGAAAGGAGGGCUAAUACAGCAUGAGACCACGGUUUCGAAAGAGAUUGAGGUCAAAGCGGGCCACUAUACAUAAGCUCGCGCUUCGAGAUGAGCCUGCGGCCCAUCAUGGUAGUUGGUAGGGUAAUGGCCUACCAAGCCGAAGACGGGUAGCUGGUCUGAGAGGAUGAUCAGCCACACUGGAACUGAGACACGGUCCAGACUCCUACGGGAGGCAGCAGUGGGGAAUCUUGCGCAAUGGGCGAAAGCCUGACGCAGCGACGCCGCGUGAGUGAUGAAGGCCUUCGGGUUGUAAAGCUCUGUGGAGGGGGACGAAUAAGGGUUGGCUAACAUCCAGCUCGAUGACGGUACCCCUUUAGCAAGCACCGGCUAACUCUGUG
This 496-nucleotide ribosomal RNA is filed under the name uncultured bacterium. RNAcentral's name for it is "bacterial SSU rRNA". It matches the Rfam family "Bacterial small subunit ribosomal RNA", at positions 30 to 507 of the family's 1533-position model. The record is from RNAcentral.